Molecule: ribosomal RNA, 253 nt
Filed under: uncultured bacterium
Lineage: Bacteria
Description: partial 16S ribosomal RNA
Rfam family: Bacterial small subunit ribosomal RNA
Source: RNAcentral
UAAGGAGGGGGCAAGCGUUGUUCGGAAUUACUGGGCGUAAAGGGCGUGUAGAGGGAUCUGCCAGUCAGAGGUGAAAGCCCCGGGCUCAACCUGGGAACGGCCUUUGAUACUGCAGAUCUAGAGUCCGGGAGAGGAUCGUGGAAUUCCCAGUUUAGAGGUGAAAUUCGUAUAUAUUGGGAAGAACACCAGUGGCGAAGGCGGCGAUCUGGACCGGUACUGACGCUGAGGCGCGAAAGCGUGGGGAGCAAACAGG